GAGGCAUAAGAGGAAGGGGAGGAGGAAGACAAGGGGCUAAUAGCAAAUAGUGGGUCAGAGAAAAUUGGUAAUGGUUAGGUAGAGGCAGAGGAUUUAUUAGAGGAAGUGAAAGGACCAAAAGUAAGCAGGAGUGAAAAGUGAGUGGGAGUGAGGGAGGUGAAAAUAGGAGCGAUAGAUGAGAUAAGAAUGAGGCGAGGAGGGCGGCAGAUUGGGAAAUGGUUUUGAGUACCUCUAAGCCUACAGGUGACUGGUUUGGCAGCAGUGUUGGGAGGGAGGGAGAAAGGCAAGUGAGUGGAAGUAUCAUAAAAAUGGAAUAGGUUGCACAGUGCAAAUCUGUGUGGAGUUGAGAGUGGUGGAGCUGAUGGAGUGAAUUGGUCAAGUGCAGAGAUGGAGCAGAGCAAAAAAAAAGAAGCAGUCAAUGUCUAGCAGGCGAGGGGAGCUGAGGAGAGACGACCAGUGAGUCUGCGGUGGUAUAAAUCUGACAGGAGGAUUCUCACCGGCAGGAGACGGGAGGGUGGCUGGGAAAAAAAACAGAGGUCAGAGCUGCUCCUCUGUGAUCACCUUCAGCUGAGUUCAUGAAGGAGUGAGUUUGUCGGUGCUUGAAGAGCAGGACCAAAAAGGAAAAAAACCAAAAAGUGCUGGACUGAAGUGCUCUGUGGAGGGACAGGCUGACUGAAGGGACUCUGCUUCCUGUAUCUGUUUCCGUUUAAGCUUCUUACCUUUUCAUUGAGGAAAUACUCCUCGUACAAACUGACUGGAGAAACUCACACCUCUGGACACUUUGGGAAAACCUUUGAUUUUAUUGUCUUUUUCUGAUUUUUGUGGUUUCCGUUACAUCCUGGACAGAGUUUUGAGACAGUGGAGGAUGUUGAGGACAUGAAUUCAGAGUUGAAAGUGUAAACACCUGUGAUUUGAUUUUUCAGCGUAACACAUAAGAGCUCUUAACUGACGCUUUUCUCCUCAGGGAAGCUUCUCACCUUGCUCCUGAAUGCUCGGCACCCAACGCAGGUCGCUUUUGGAUAUUCAUGUAUGACCUAUCCUUAUUGAGGCAUAAUGCGAGUCAGUAAAGUUCUGAUG
Amphiprion ocellaris (clown anemonefish) is the source of this 1077-nucleotide long non-coding RNA. NCBI's taxonomy places the organism in Eukaryota, Metazoa, Chordata, Actinopteri, Pomacentridae. The record is from Ensembl.